This 220-nucleotide ribosomal RNA is filed under the name uncultured bacterium. RNAcentral's name for it is "partial 16S ribosomal RNA". It matches the Rfam family "Bacterial small subunit ribosomal RNA", at positions 328 to 544 of the family's 1533-position model. The record is from RNAcentral.
ACGCUCGACACCUACGGGAGCAGCAGUGAGGAAUAUUGGUCAAUGGGCGCUAGCCUGAACCAGCCAAGUAGCGUGAAGGAUGAAGGCUCUAUGGGUCGUAAACUUCUUUUAUAUAAGAAUAAAGUGCAGUAUGUAUACUGUUUUGUAUGUAUUAUAUGAAUAAGGAUCGGCUAACUCCGUACCAGCAGCCGCGGUAAUCUGAGCGGGCGUGGCGAAGGCG